Molecule: ribosomal RNA, 253 nt
Filed under: uncultured bacterium
Lineage: Bacteria
Description: partial 16S ribosomal RNA
Rfam family: Bacterial small subunit ribosomal RNA
Source: RNAcentral
UACAGAGGGGGCAAGCGUUGUUCGGAAUUACUGGGCGUAAAGGGCGCGUAGGCGGCCUUCUAAGUCGAACGUGAAAUCCCUCGGCUUAACCGGGGAACUGCGUCUGAUACUGGAUGGCUUGAGUUCGGGAGAGGGAUGCGGAAUUCCAGGUGUAGCGGUGAAAUGCGUAGAUAUCUGGAGGAACACCGGUGGCGAAGGCGGCAUCCUGGACCGAUACUGACGCUGAGGAGCGAAAGCCAGGGGAGCAAACGGG